UAUCGAUUUGCAAAAUGCAAGAACGCGGCUACCUCCAGAGCCGCGAGCCCGGCGAGGAGCCCGUAGAAGUAGUCGAGGUGCGCUCGGUUGAGAUUGUCAGAGAACCAGCUGUCGCCUCUCCUUCUCGUCGCCCAGUCGAUGACGGACACAAGGAUGCUGCUGGCGUAGCUUCCCACCCCAAAGAUGCUCAGGCACAACGCGAGCCCGACGCUGCGGAGAGUGUCAGGCACCUGGUCGUAGAAGAACUCCUCGAGCCCAACCUGACCCAGCACACCGGCGAGGCCGAUGAGAACAUACUGCGGAAUCAUCCACCACAAACUCAUCGGCACAGCCUCG
Molecule: unclassified non-coding RNA, 336 nt
Filed under: Zea mays
Lineage: Eukaryota; Viridiplantae; Streptophyta; Magnoliopsida; Poales; Poaceae
Description: misc RNA Zm00001eb146360
Source: RNAcentral